UUGAUGGGGGUUUGCAUUUAAAAAUGUUGACUAUGAUUUAACUAAUUCUGAUGCAUCUAGUAUUCUAUACUCGAGUAGUCUUGACUUUUGCAACACAUUAGUUCAAUUAAACUAAUGCGAAGCGUAAACUGUUUCGGGGAAACAACAGUUAAGGCCAAUCACUACAGGUACCGAGCUUGUCAUCAGGUAGCAGUAAGUUAGCUUCAUUGACAGGGGGUCACCAUAUUGAUGGUUUUCUCCUGCAGGAUGUUGUACGAUGAAACUCAUAUACCCAGCACGUCAUCAGGUAACAGUAACUCAGCUUCAAGGGUAGGAGGUCACACAGGGAUCACCAUGCUGACGAUCUUCUGCAGGGCAUUGAACACCGAAGUGCAAAUACCCAGCACAUCGUCAGGUAACAGUAACUCAGCUUCAAGGGUAGAGGUCACACAGGGAUCACCAUGCUGACGAUCUUCUGCAGGGCAUUGAACACUGAAGUGCAAAUACCCAGCACAUUGUCAGGUAACAGUAACUCAGCUUCAAGGGUAGGAGGUCACACAGGGAUCACCAUGCUGACGAUCUUCUGCAGGGCAUUGAACACCGAAGUGCAGAUACCCAGCUUGUCAUCAGGUAGUAGUAACUCAGCCUCAGGAUGACUCUUGCUGAAGUUCUCCUUGGCUUGUUUGAUUACAUAUUUUUGGUGAUAAUUGAAUAAUUUUGAAUCGCAGCAGACGAAUGACAGGUUCUAUCCGCCCCCAAGAUCUUGAUUGAGAUGCAUUUUCAUCACCUCUCUUUUUCUGACUCAAUGUACUUCCGCCUACAGGCAUUGAAGUAGGUAGCCUUGCUAGUCCAGGGAAACAUUUUGGUGAGAAAGCAAUACAUUGGUACCAAAUCACUGAAGUCAUACUUCUUGGAAGAGCUAUUUGUAAAUGCAUGGUUGGCUUACAGGAAGACUGAAAUUGAAAUUUCUGUUCAACAUGGGCCAAAAGACAUACAUUCCAUCAAAGCAUUCAAAAGACAAAAUUAUGGGUACCAGAAAUCUAGAUACGAUAGAGGUUAUCAGGCAGCAAGAGUGAGCUUUGUUCAGUGAAGCCUUAUAUCUACAAAUUGCUUGAAAAACAUCAACAAAUAAGUCAUGAUAAAUUUGUUUUAUACUUUCUAUAUUUGUGGAAUUCUUACUCACAUCUGCAAUCAAAAAUAAAGUUGUAUUCAAAAUAUCA
Homalodisca vitripennis (glassy-winged sharpshooter) is the source of this 1199-nucleotide long non-coding RNA. RefSeq lists it as uncharacterized. The transcript has 2 exons. The record is from RefSeq and is a predicted model, not a curated record. NCBI's taxonomy places the organism in Eukaryota, Metazoa, Arthropoda, Insecta, Hemiptera, Cicadellidae.